This is a long non-coding RNA of Callorhinchus milii (elephant shark), 394 nucleotides long. RefSeq lists it as uncharacterized. The record is from RefSeq and is a predicted model, not a curated record. The transcript is spliced from 5 exons. Lineage: Eukaryota; Metazoa; Chordata; Chondrichthyes; Chimaeriformes; Callorhinchidae.
CAGUCUGGAGUGGGUCCUGCUCGGAGCUGAACACAGCAGCGUAGCAGCUCAGACGCUUCUUUGGAGACCCAGUCGAUUGCUCGUUCCUAGUAAUGCCUCUCUGUCUAGGACUAACCGGUUCAUCCGAUUGUUAAACAGCCUCAGCAACCCACCCAAUGAGACCAUAAUUUAAAGCUCAAACCUCAAAAUCAUUCUCAUCGUACUUCUCUCAACCUGAUCCAACGCAUCAAUGUUCUUUUGAAGAUGGGUCCGAUAGCAACGGAAGCCUUGAAUCUCCAGACUAGUCCUGGAGAGCUGGCUCUUCUUCUCAUCUCCUCAAGUUGUCGGUCGAAGUAUUUCACAAUUCUGAUUUUCCUAUGGGAAUCCAAUUUCAUAAUGCCACGGAACUGUACAA